RNAcentral lists this ribosomal RNA (434 nucleotides) under uncultured Clostridium sp. RNAcentral's name for it is "partial 16S ribosomal RNA". It matches the Rfam family "Bacterial small subunit ribosomal RNA", at positions 341 to 792 of the family's 1533-position model. The record is from RNAcentral. Lineage: Bacteria; Bacillati; Bacillota; Clostridia; Eubacteriales; Clostridiaceae.
ACGGGAGGCAGCAGUGGGGAAUAUUGGACAAUGGAGGCAACUCUGAUCCAGCGACGCCGCGUGAGUGAAGAAGUAUUUCGGUAUGUAAAGCUCUAUCAGCAGGGAAGAUAAUGACGGUACCUGACUAAGAAGCCCCGGCUAACUACGUGCCAGCAGCCGCGGUAAUACGUAGGGGGCAAGCGUUAUCCGGAUUUACUGGGUGUAAAGGGAGCGUAGGCGGCCAGACAAGUCAGAUGUGAAAGCCCGGGGCUCAACUCCGGUACUGCAUUUGAAACUGCCAGGCUUGAGUGCAGGAGAGGCAAGCGGAAUUCCUAGUGUAGCGGUGAAAUGCGUAGAUAUUGGGAGGAACACCGGAGGCGAAGGCGGCUCACUGGACGAUUACUGACGUUGAGGCUCGAAAGCGUGGGGAGCAAACAGGAUUAGAUACCCUGGUA